AACUGUAGUCUAAUGGAUAGAACGUAGGACUCCGACUCCUAUAAUGCGGGUUCGAUUCCCGCCGGUUGC
This 69-nucleotide transfer RNA is filed under the name human gut metagenome. It matches the Rfam family "tRNA". From Rfam's summary of the family: Transfer RNA (tRNA) molecules are approximately 80 nucleotides in length. Their secondary structure includes four short double-helical elements and three loops (D, anti-codon, and T loops). The record is from RNAcentral. RNAcentral also lists the same sequence under 1 other name.